This 253-nucleotide ribosomal RNA is filed under the name uncultured bacterium. RNAcentral describes it as "partial 16S ribosomal RNA". It matches the Rfam family "Bacterial small subunit ribosomal RNA", at positions 524 to 776 of the family's 1533-position model. The record is from RNAcentral.
UACGGAGGAUCCAAGCGUUAUCCGGAUUUAUUGGGCUUAAAGGGUGCGUAGGCGGAAUUGUAAGUCAGUGGUGAAAGCCCUUCGCUUAACGAAGGAACUGCCAUUGAUACUGCAAAUCUUGAGUACAUUUGAUGAGGGCGGAAUGUGUCAUGUAGCGGUGAAAUGCUUAGAUAUGACACAGAACACCGAUUGCGAAGGCAGCUCUCAAAACUGUAACUGACGCUGAGGCACGAAAGCGUGGGUAUCAAACAGG